Molecule: long non-coding RNA, 3002 nt
Organism: Dendrobium catenatum
Lineage: Eukaryota; Viridiplantae; Streptophyta; Magnoliopsida; Asparagales; Orchidaceae
Exons: 2
Source: RefSeq, a predicted model, not a curated record
CUCUCUAUAUUUCUCCAUCAAACCUCUCAAUAAAUGUAUAGCUUCCAUAGUAGACCUCCCCGCCAUGAAUCCAAAUUGAUUUUGAAAAAAAAAUUAUAAAUCUAUAUGAAAUAUUAUAAAUUGAUGGUUGACUUUGUGGUGUUGUGGGUGUGAACUGUGAAGUGAUUUGGGGCGGUUUAAUUCAAGGACAAGGUUUUUGUUUUAUGAAUGUUGGGUGUGGCCAAUGGGGGUUUGAUGUUAGUUUUUAUGUGAGAAAGUGGUGUUUAACAGCUUUAGGAUGGAUUUAGCGUUUUAUGUGUGUGAGAGACAGAGGCCAAAUGGGUUAAUCUGGGGUUUAGGGAGGGAAUGAGGAUUGACUAAAUGUGUUUUGAGGGUUGAAGAUAAGGGGAGAAGCCAAUUUGGGUGUUUAGAGUUGAGGUUGUAAAUGGAAAAGGUAGAGGCCGAGAGUUCUGAGGGUUAUGAUUUGGAUUGGUUGGGAGGGAGAUGGUUAAGAGGUGAUGGAAUUAGGAUUUCAAGAUGUAGAGGGGAACAAGAAUUCAUCACCCAAGAAAUUCAACCAAGACAAGCCACCAAGUCAUCCACACAAAAGAAAGAAAGACCCCAAUUCUCAUUUUAAUUAAUAACAAAUCCAUUCAAUUACAAAAUUUAUACAUAUAGUAUGGGCAUGGGAAUUUAAAUUCAAAGUUACUAAAAAUAGCAAAGCAUUUAAAAAUUCAAAAUUAAGGGUAAGCAAGCCUUUAAUGAAAGGUGGAACCACUAUGAAUUGUGCCAAAUCAAUCAAAAUUUCCUAAAAGAGGGGGGUGGGGUGGGAUAACCAAGGCUAGAUCCUAUGAUGCAUCGACACACCUUAUUAUGAAGGUAUGCAUGUAUGAACCAUGACCGUGGUGUCACCCGACACCUACCAUACUUUUCGUAGCGUGAUGGGAAGGCUGGCUCCCCAAUUCCCUCCUAAAAGAGGGAGACAUCGAGACGCUGCCAAAAUUUUGAUUGAAAAUGCACGGGACUUAAGCAAAUACAUGAGACUUGAAUUCAACAGGAUCGUAGGGAAACAAACUUAAAUAAAUCAUAGAAAACCAAAUCUGAGAUUUAAAAUAAAAACUUGUAAUUUACAAAAUAAUAAAAAAAUUUAAACAUACAAGCAAAGGACUUAUGAUGGACAAAUUAAUAAAUGCCACUUGCUUGCAAGCAAUGAGCAGCAGGAGUCAAGGAUAAUGUGUGAUCUAAUUGCAAGAAAACUCACAAAAUCCUUUAAUAAAUAUUGCAAACCACAUAUGCAUGGUAGUAGUUGGUGCAUAGCAUCACAUCAAUCAUGCAAGCAAAUAAGAGAAUGCAACAAUGAAAAUUCUAUCAUCUAGUAGUAUAACAAAAGGUUUGUGAUGUAUACAACAAAUUUCUUAUAAAUGACAACGAGAUAUAUGCAACAAGUAUAACAACUUUCAUGCAGUCGACCUCAACUCAUAAACAAAUACGCCAAACUCCUGCAAAUGACGUCAACCGACAUGCAAUGAUUACAAAGGCACCCUCAUAGGCCACAUCAAGCAAGUAUCUAACAAAUGCAGAAGAUCCUGACAGUGCAAGCAAACAUGUUAACAUAUUUGUGAGUAACGAUAGUGGACAAGUGGCGAAUAUGAUGAAUUCCCCGCAAAUAUUGAUAAAAAGAGAAGUUACAACGAACAUCGCCUACAAGUGACUACAAGGAACAUGUAAUGAAUAUUAUGAUACCCCUCCAGUUAAUGAUAACCAACUCGUAGAUAAGUGCAACAGUUACCCACGAACACUGAAGGUUAACAUACAAUGAGCAUAGUUAGUUGCUGAUGAAUGUUUGUGGUAAAAUCAGCAAUGAAUGCAGCUCACCCAACGAUCAACAUCAGUUUGCAAAUGAACACAUUAAUCUACCUGCAAGCGAUGAUGGAAAAUAUGCUUUAGGUCUAAUGGAUCCCCUGUGAACAUGGACAUGCAACAUGUCAUUUACAAGCAAAGAUUGAUGAUCACGACAAAUGCAAGACCACAACAAAUAUAAGCGCCUACGAGCUGCUACAGAAGAUUUGUUAGUGCACGUCAGUCUACCUACGUAAAGUAAUAAAUAACCCAUAGCUCAACAUUACAAUUCACCUGUAAGUAGAAACAGAGAUUUGUAGUAAAAGUUGCGGGCCAUUAAUAAAUUGUGGCUGUAAACUUGUGGUGUCAGGCUGUCAUAUUAGAUAAAUCAGCUCACUUGCGUGGUACAGCUCACUUGUUGCGUGGUACAACUCACUUGCAAGAAGAAGUGUACUCCUGCAAGCUGAAUAUCAGAGAAAAUAAUAACGUGCAGAUGAUUAAAAGAACUAAACUACACUAUCAACAAACAAUGAAUGAAGUGCAAUGCCACGUCACCAGAUUCACAACAUCCAUACAAGUAGGCAUAAGGCUUUUACAGGCUUUUAAAUGAAAUUUUGUAAUUGAUGAUAGCUGCAUGUUGCAAAAGCAACACCCUCAUGCAUCAAAAUGCACACCGAUAAGUUCAUAGUAUGCAUACAUUGGCAAUAUGCAGGAUACAUCAUGCAAACACGUAACUUAAUAUGCAAGAUGCGCUACGUUGUGGCGACACAUAGCAUUAACAUGCAGAAUGCAUCAUGCAUGUAUAUACUACACUAUACAAAAUACAUUAUGCAAAUACGCGACCCAACAUGUGCGCUGAUAUGCAAAUAUAUCAUGCAAUCAUUGAAUUAUCAUGCAAAUGUAUUAUCCGAAUAAAUGUACAAAAGCAAAAUGUCACAUACAUGCAUGUCAUGCAAAUUCACUAUACACUAUGUUAAUGCAUCCAGACGCUAUGUUGAAUAUCAGCAUAUCAUGCAAACAUGAUUAAACAAUGCGCAAAUAUGUUGCUCACAUAUACAUACAUGCAUGCAAAUACACAAGUACAUACGUGCGAUAUUAACAUGUAAAUGAAAGUAUAAGUGUGUAUGUAAGCGUGCAAAUAUAUAUAUGAAAAUAUAUGUAAUUAAAUACCUGUAUGGGCCCCA